GCCAGUGUGGUGUAGUGGUUUGAGUGUUGGACUAUGGCUCUUGAGACCAGGGUUCAAAUCCCCAUCGGCC
This 70-nucleotide transfer RNA is filed under the name Phrynosoma platyrhinos (Desert horned lizard). RNAcentral describes it as "tRNA-OTHER". The record is from RNAcentral. Lineage: Eukaryota; Metazoa; Chordata; Lepidosauria; Squamata; Phrynosomatidae.